Non-coding RNA from Myotis brandtii (Brandt's bat), 126 nucleotides. The record is from Rfam. NCBI's taxonomy places the organism in Eukaryota, Metazoa, Chordata, Mammalia, Chiroptera, Vespertilionidae.
CAUGCACCAGUGGGGUCCCUCGGCCUGGCCUGCGGGAUCGGGUCGAAAACAGCUCUCCGACAUCCCCUGAGGAGUCCCAGAUUGCGAGAGGGUGCAGGCCAGGCCAAGGGACCCCACUGGUGCAUG